GAUGAACGCUGGCGGCGUGCCUAAUACAUGCAAGUCGAGCGAACAGACGAGGAGCUUGCUCCUCUGACGUUAGCGGCGGACGGGUGAGUAACACGUGGAUAACCUACCUAUAAGACUGGGAUAACUUCGGGAAACCGGAGCUAAUACCGGAUAAUAUAUUGAACCGCAUGGUUCAAUAGUGAAAGACGGUUUUGCUGUAACUUAUAGAUGGAUCCGCGCCGCAUUAGCUAGUUGGUAAGGUAACGGCUUACCAAGGCGACGAUGCGUAGCCGACCUGAGAGGGUGAUCGCCCACACUGGAACUGAGACACGGUCCAGACUCCUACGGGAGGCAGCAGUAGGGAAUCUUCCGCAAUGGGCGAAAGCCUGACGGAGCAACGCCGCGUGAGUGAUGAAGGUCUUCGGAUCGUAAAACUCUGUUAUUAGGGAAGAACAAAUGUGUAAUUAACUAUGCACUUCUUGACGGUACCUAAUCAGAAAGCAACGGCUAACUACGUG
RNAcentral lists this ribosomal RNA (497 nucleotides) under uncultured bacterium. RNAcentral describes it as "partial 16S ribosomal RNA". It matches the Rfam family "Bacterial small subunit ribosomal RNA", at positions 28 to 507 of the family's 1533-position model. The record is from RNAcentral.